AUUGAACGCUGGCGGCAUGCUUUACACAUGCAAGUCGAACGGCAGCGGGGGCGUUCGGCCCGCCGGCGAGUGGCGAACGGGUGAGUAAUGCAUCGGAACGUGCCCACGUCGUGGGGGAGUAACACAUCGAAAGAUGUGCUAAUACCGCAUACGUCCUGAGGGAGAAAGCGGGGGAUCUUCGGACCUCACGUGAUUGGAGCGGCCGAUGUCAGAUUAGCUAGUUGGUGAGGUAAAGGCUCACCAAGGCGACGAUCUGUAGCGGGUCUGAGAGGAUGAUCCGCCACACUGGGACUGAGACACGGCCCAGACUCCUACGGGAGGCAGCAGUAGGGAAUUUUCGGCAAUGGGGGGAAACCCUGACCGAGCAAUGCCGCGUGAACGAUGAAGGUCUUCGGAUUGUAAAGUUCUGUGAUUGGGGAAGAAUGGUAUUCUUAGGGAAUGAGGAGUACAUGACGGUACCCGAUUAGAAAGCCCCGGCUAACUAUGUGCCAGCAG
Molecule: ribosomal RNA, 495 nt
Filed under: uncultured bacterium
Lineage: Bacteria
Description: bacterial SSU rRNA
Rfam family: Bacterial small subunit ribosomal RNA
Source: RNAcentral